AAGUCCCGCAACGAGCCGCAACCCUUAUCCCCAGUUGCCAUCAGGUAAAGCUGGGAACUCUGGGGAGACUGCCGGUGAUAAACCGGAGGAAGGCGGGGAUGACGUCAAGUCCUCAUGGCCCUUACAUCCCGGGCUACACACGUGCUACAAUGGCAGGUACAGAGGGCUGCGAAGCCGCGAGGUGGAGCGAAUCCCAGAAAACCUGUCUCAGUCCGGAUUGAAGUCUGCAACUCGACUUCAUGAAGGCGGAAUCGCUAGUAACCGCGAAUCAGCAGGUCCGCGGUCGAAUACGUUCCCGGGCCCUU
This 305-nucleotide ribosomal RNA is filed under the name uncultured Latescibacterota bacterium. Its description in RNAcentral is "bacterial SSU rRNA". It matches the Rfam family "Bacterial small subunit ribosomal RNA", at positions 1082 to 1382 of the family's 1533-position model. Lineage: Bacteria; Pseudomonadati; Candidatus Latescibacterota. The record is from RNAcentral.